This 1680-nucleotide long non-coding RNA is filed under the name Equus caballus (horse). Its description in RNAcentral is "lncRNA (ENSECAG00000036732.3)". Lineage: Eukaryota; Metazoa; Chordata; Mammalia; Perissodactyla; Equidae. The record is from RNAcentral.
AUAUAUGUUUUGGCAUAAGGAUUAUUUGAGGCUGGUUAUUUUUAAGAAACAGCAGACAUUUGAGAAGCUCUGGAAACCAAGUAGAAGUUACCCUUUGUAAAAAAUAUUUACAUUUGUAAAGGAAAUCACUUUUGUAAGGCUGACUCUCUCACUGUACCAGGAAGACGGGGCUUACCUUAUCUCUAGAAAGUCUUAUCAAUGGAGGAGGUGAUGACUUAAAUAAUAACUUCAUCCUUGUUUACUGUGCUUUUCCUGGGAACCUCACGUAAUUGACUCCCUCCACCUGCAACAACUUCUUUGGUCUGUAGCUGAAGAUGGUAUUUAAGGUGGUGGCAUCGGCUAUUUUGAAGCGCUUUAAGUUCUUAGUCUCUGGUGGAUUGUGGAUCGCCUAUCAGUAGCAGAACUUCCUGGGGUGGUUGGAAAUAUGCAGAUUUCUGUUCUGUCAGCCCCAAGCUGUGAAUUAAAUUGUGGGAUCUGGCUGAGAAAUCUUCAUUUCUAAAGCAUCCAUUUUGUGUGGUUACGUAGCCUCCAGGGGCCUUGAACUGCGUAGCCCCUCCCUAGAGCGCAUGCCUUAAAGAACAGCCUGCAGAGUCACAGGUGAGUCUAAUUUCCUGAUAAGCCCCUGGUAAUAAAUAGUCUCCCCUGAUUCCCAGCUCCUUCUCCUGGCUUGUGCCUUAGGUAAGACCCCCACGCAACUUACCAAAGCUCUGCUCUUUCUGGUUUGAAGCGACCAAUCCAGCCUUAGCCUGGGAACCCCAAAACAUUCUACCCUUGGACUCUAAUAAAAGCGUAUGUCCCAGAUCCUGCUGCUCAUACUCUGCCUGCACCCUGCCUUGACCUCCCUGUGUGGCUCCUCGAGAUACCUCCUCCAGGACCUAAGAGCAGCAGUUAUAGCAUCUCAAAGAGCGAGUGUUAUGGACAAGAGCCCCGGCGAAGGCCACUGUGCCGUGUGACACCUCCGAUGCCUCAUUUAGAGGGAUUUCAAAAGGAUUAAAUAAUUGUGAUUUUGGUCCUCUUGGUUUCUCUGAUGCUGCUGGGGCUCCCAUUUGCCUGAAGGGGCAUUCCUGUGAGUCAGCAUCCUCUCUAAUCAACAUGUUGCAGAAAAGUGUUUACACACAACAUCCAGAGAAGAGGUGGGAUGCCUACCACAGCAUGGCAUGCCUAGCGGUGCCAUGUCCGCAGCCGGGAUCUGAACUGGCGAACCCUGGGUCUCUGAGAAGUGGAACAUGCGAACUUAACCACUGCACCACCGGGACUAUAAUUGUCUGGAGCAGAAGAGAAAAGAUUGAUGUCUGGAUGAGAACAAGAGAACUGAGAAGAUUAAAUUAUUUCAGUAUGAAUCAAAUCACUCAUCUCUUUUCUGCUUAUUGGCUAGAUCACAAAGACGGUUUUACCGACUCUGACUUUUUAUGUCACUGGCCAUGUGGAAUCCUUACAUGCUGCUAGGUCCCCUGUUCUCAUAUUUCAUAGAAGUUCAAAGUAAGAUGAUAUAUCGCAAUUUGCAUUUAUCCUAGAGUUUGUAUAGGUGUUGCAUUUUAGUCUACUAUUCGGGAACAUAUGUAACACAUGGUACAAGGUUAAAAUGAGGAAAAUAAAAUGAAAAAAUGUAGUUUUUUGUUGUUGCUUUUGUUUUUUGUGUGUGUGUGCUUGUGCUUCAAUAAAGCUGGACUACUUCAGUGG